This 497-nucleotide ribosomal RNA is filed under the name uncultured bacterium. RNAcentral describes it as "partial 16S ribosomal RNA". It matches the Rfam family "Bacterial small subunit ribosomal RNA", at positions 28 to 507 of the family's 1533-position model. The record is from RNAcentral.
GAUGAACGCUGGCGGCGUGCCUAAUACAUGCAAGUCGAGCGAACGGACGAGAAGCUUGCUUCUCUGAUGUUAGCGGCGGACGGGUGAGUAACACGUGGAUAACCUACCUAUAAGACUGGGAGAACUUCGGGAAACCGGAGCUAAUACCGGAUCAUAUUUUGAACCGCAUGGUUCAAAAGUGAAAGACGGCCUUGCUGUCACUUAUAGAUGGAUCCGCGCUGCAUUAGCUAGUGGGUAAGGUAACGGCUUACCAAGGCUACGAUGCAUAGCCGACCUGAGAGGAGGAGAGCCCCCCCAGGAACUGAAACACGGUCCAGACUCCUACGGGAGGCAGCAGUAGGGAAUCUUCCGCAAUGGGCGAAAACCUGACGGAGCAACGCCGCGUGAGUGAUGAAGGUCUUCGGAUCGUAAAACUCUGUUAUUAGGGAAGAACAUAUGUGUAAGUAACUGUGCACAUCUUGACGGUACCUAAUCAGAAAGCCACGGCUAACUACGUG